UAGGGAAUCUUCGGCAAUGGGGGGAACCCUGACCGAGCAACGCCGCGUGAGGGAAGAAGGCUUUCGGAUCGUAAAGCUCUGUUGUUAAGGAAGAACGAGUGUGAGAAUGGAAAGUUCAUGCUGUGACGGUACUUAACCAGAAAGGGACGGCUAACUACGUGCCAGCAGCCGCGGUAAUACGUAGGUCCCGAGCGUUGUCCGGAUUUAUUGGGCGUAAAGCGAGCGCAGGCGGUUAGAAAAGUCUGAAGUGAAAGGCAGUGGCUCAACCAUUGUAGGCUUUGGAAACUGUUUAACUUGAGUGCAGAAGGGGAGAGUGGAAUUCCAUGUGUAGCGGUGAAAUGCGUAGAUAUAUGGAGGAACACCGGUGGCGAAAGCGGCUCUCUGGUCUGUAACUGACGCUGAGGCUCGAAAGCGUGGGGAGCGAACAGG
Molecule: ribosomal RNA, 429 nt
Filed under: Verrucomicrobiota bacterium
Lineage: Bacteria; Pseudomonadati; Verrucomicrobiota
Description: Verrucomicrobia bacterium partial 16S ribosomal RNA
Rfam family: Bacterial small subunit ribosomal RNA
Source: RNAcentral